This 1346-nucleotide ribosomal RNA is filed under the name uncultured bacterium. RNAcentral describes it as "partial 16S ribosomal RNA". It matches the Rfam family "Bacterial small subunit ribosomal RNA", at positions 28 to 1381 of the family's 1533-position model. The record is from RNAcentral.
GACGAACGCUGGCGGCGUGCUUAACACAUGCAAGUCGAACGGAAAGGCCCUGCUUUUGUGGGGUGCUCGAGUGGCGAACGGGUGAGUAACACGUGAGUAACCUGCCCUUGACUUUGGGAUAACUUCAGGAAACUGGGGCUAAUACCGGAUAGGAGCUCCUGCUGCAUGGUGGGGGUUGGAAAGUUUCGGCGGUUGGGGAUGGACUCGCGGCUUAUCAGCUUGUUGGUGGGGUAGUGGCUUACCAAGGCUUUGACGGGUAGCCGGCCUGAGAGGGUGACCGGCCACAUUGGGACUGAGAUACGGCCCAGACUCCUACGGGAGGCAGCAGUGGGGAAUAUUGCACAAUGGGCGGAAGCCUGAUGCAGCAACGCCGCGUGCGGGAUGACGGCCUUCGGGUUGUAAACCGCUUUCGCCUGUGACGAAGCGUGAGUGACGGUAAUGGGUAAAGAAGCACCGGCUAACUACGUGCCAGCAGCCGCGGUGAUACGUAGGGUGCGAGCGUUGUCCGGAUUUAUUGGGCGUAAAGGGCUCAUAGGUGGUUGAUCGCGUCGGAAGUGUAAUCUUGGGGCUUAACCCUGAGCGUGCUUUCGAUACGGGUUGACUUGAGGAAGGUAGGGGAGAAUGGAAUUCCUGGUGGAGCGGUGGAAUGCGCAGAUAUCAGGAGGAACACCAGUGGCGAAGGCGGUUCUCUGGGCCUUUCCUGACGCUGAGGAGCGAAAGCGUGGGGAGCGAACAGGCUUAGAUACCCUGGUAGUCCACGCUGUAAACGGUGGGUACUAGGUGUGGGGUCCAUUCCACGGGUUCCGUGCCGUAGCUAACGCUUUAAGUACCCCGCCUGGGGAGUACGGCCGCAAGGCUAAAACUCAAAGGAAUUGACGGGGCCCCGCACAAGCGGCGGAGCAUGCGGAUUAAUUCGAUGCAACGCGUAGAGCCUUACCUGGGUUUGACAUGGAUCGGGAGUGCUCAGAGAUGGGUGUGCCUCUUUUGGGGUCGGUUCACAGGUGGUGCAUGGCUGUCGUCAGCUCGUGUCGUGAGAUGUUGGGUUAAGUCCCGCAACGAGCGCAACCCUUGUUCACUGUUGCCAGCACGUUAUGGUGGGGACUCAGUGGAGACCGCCGGGGUCAACUCGGAGGAAGGUGGGGAUGACGUCAAGUCAUCAUGCCCCUUAUGUCCAGGGCUUCACGCAUGCUACAAUGGCUGGUACAGAGAGUGGCGAGCCUGUGAGGGUGAGCGAAUCUCGGAAAGCCGGUCUCAGUUCGGAUUGGGGUCUGCAACUCGACCUCAUGAAGUCGGAGUCGCUAGUAAUCGCAGAUCAGCAACGCUGCGGUGAAUACGUUCCCGGGGCU